Molecule: long non-coding RNA, 981 nt
Filed under: Ursus maritimus (polar bear)
Lineage: Eukaryota; Metazoa; Chordata; Mammalia; Carnivora; Ursidae
Description: lncRNA (ENSUMAG00000002058.1)
Source: RNAcentral
CUGCCCCUAAGCUGCUGUCACCUGCUCUUCAUGGAGCUCUUGGGCUUGAUGUCAUCAGAGCAGUCACCCCCUUGGGGGAAGAGUGUGCAUUCAGGGGCCCCUGCGACAGGACAGCAAACACGUUUGUUUGCAGGCCCGGGGAGCUUCCAGACAAAUGAUCUCUGACACUUUGUGCCAAAGCGAUUGAGCAAGAGGCAGGAGCCAUGUCCAAGACAGAAUCCUGCCAAAAUGCAUAAUCGAUAUAGUUGAGGUCAGAAGUCUUUCAAGGCUGGGGUUCUCGACGCAACAGCUGGAUUUGUUCAGGAUAAUCCACUUGGAAACACCAUUUUGGAUUCACGUGAGGAAGCAAUGAGCUUUCAGUGUGUAAAGGCCACAGGGCUGGCGUUACCCGGCUGAUACACUCUGCUGCUUCACAGGCUCUAGGACCUUGUGAGGGCACCAUCGUCCGUCCGGGUUUCAUACGGGAAAUCUAUUUGUCGGGUUAAUUGAGUUGAUGAAUUUAAGCAGAUGGUACUGACCUCCUCGUCUCUAAUACAUACUCCUCCUCUCACAUAUGGUGAUUCAAAGUUGACAUGAACAUGGGACAUCCAGCACAGACCAGUUACGGACCGCCUGUGGGACAGAUUUAGGACCAGCCUGGGAAGUGCAUGUAUUAUGACUGGGGUCUAACUGCUUUGAAUAAAAUGGCUAAGAAAAACGUGAGAAUGAAAAAUCCUUGCUGUGCAUCCACUUGCAAAUAUAUCCAGGUCUGUGAGCCCUUGAAAGACUGAAGUUUGUAAUCAGCACAGAGGAACCCUUGGAAGGACUUCUUUCUGCCUGUAGAGCUCGAGUCGGAUGCCGUCUGGGACGCAGCUGAAAGCGGCUGGAGAACCGGUGCACCUGAGAGAACUGAGUUCUGGGACUUUACGGAAGUCACUUUGGGUGGAGGAGUCCGGUGGCAGGAACGUGACUCAAGCCCAACUUAUCAAAGUCUCCACCUGA